RNAcentral lists this ribosomal RNA (254 nucleotides) under uncultured bacterium. RNAcentral describes it as "partial 16S ribosomal RNA". It matches the Rfam family "Bacterial small subunit ribosomal RNA", at positions 524 to 776 of the family's 1533-position model. The record is from RNAcentral.
UACGUAGGGCGCAAGCGUUAUCCGGAAUUAUUGGGCGUAAAGAGCUCGUAGGCGGUGUGUCGCGUCGGCCGUGAAAACCUGGGGCUCAACUCUGGGCGUGCGGUCGAUACGGGCAUCACUUGAGUUCGGCAGGGGAGACUGGAAUUCCUGGUGUAGCGGUGAAAUGCGCAGAUAUCAGGAGGAACACCGGUGGCGAAGGCGGGUCUCUGGGCCGAUACUGACGCUGAGGAGCGAAAGCGUGGGGAGCGAACAGG